Long non-coding RNA from Papaver somniferum (opium poppy), 483 nucleotides. RefSeq lists it as uncharacterized. The transcript has 2 exons. Lineage: Eukaryota; Viridiplantae; Streptophyta; Magnoliopsida; Ranunculales; Papaveraceae. The record is from RefSeq and is a predicted model, not a curated record.
CAAACUCAAAGAGGCGCCUCAUACUCCGUUUCAUCCCCUCCCAAAAGUUUUAGAUUAGAUGCAGAGGAAAAACAGAUGAAAAGCACUUCCUAAGAUCAGGCCUUUCAAUUUCUGUAAGCUUAUCAGAGAAAUCAGUGUUCGCAACCAGAGAGAUGUCUGCUGCUGCUGAGAUGGAUUGCAAUUUCAGAAUACAAAAAAUACAUGCUGGGUUGAGAUUCAGAAUGUGACUGUAAAAGUGGAGCAGAGGACGUCGCUUAGGAUCCUGAGAUCUCGAACCCCUUUUACAUACAUGAAGUCAAGCAGCCUUCAUUUGCUGGGCAAACUCUUUUUUUAUGCUUUUUGCAUCUGAUUUUGAUUUUUUGUUUGAUAUAUUUAAAUGUUCAAAUUGAAGUAUAAUUAUCUAAGUUUAUAAAUUUAUGUUUCAAUUUAAAGUUGUAAAAGGGGACUCUAGAAUAAUGAAAUGAAUGUGCAUUUUUUCUCAUG